GAUGAACGCUAGCUACAGGCUUAACACAUGCAAGUCGAGGGGUAACGAGAGGAAAGCUUGCUUUCCUUGUCGACGACCGGCGCACGGGUGGGUAACGCGUAUCCAACCUGCCCCCAACUAGGGAAUAACCUUGCGAAAGCAAGACUAAUACCCUAUAAUUUCCUCAGAUGUCAUCUGACGAGGAAUAAAGAUUUAUCGGUUGUGGAUGGGGAUGCGUCUGAUUAGCUUGUUGGCGGGGUAACGGCCCACCAAGGCAACGAUCAGUAGGGGUUCUGAGAGGAAGGUCCCCCACAUUGGAACUGAGACACGGUCCAAACUCCUACGGGAGGCAGCAGUGAGGAAUAUUGGUCAAUGGGCGGAAGCCUGAACCAGCCAAGUAGCGUGCAGGAUGACGGCCCUAUGGGUUGUAAACUGCUUUUAUACAGGAAUAAAGUUAGCCACGUGUGGUUAUUUGUAGGUACUGUAUGAAUAAGGACCGGCUAAUUCCGUGCCAGCAGCCGCAGUAA
RNAcentral lists this ribosomal RNA (506 nucleotides) under uncultured bacterium. RNAcentral describes it as "partial 16S ribosomal RNA". It matches the Rfam family "Bacterial small subunit ribosomal RNA", at positions 28 to 523 of the family's 1533-position model. The record is from RNAcentral.